GACGAACGCUGGCGGCGUGCUUAACACAUGCAAGUCGAACGGAAAGGCCCUGCUUUUGUGGGGUGCUCGAGUGGCGAACGGGUGAGUAACACGUGAGUAACCUGCCCUUGACUUUGGGAUAACUUCAGGAAACUGGGGCUAAUACCGGAUAGGAGCUCCUGCUGCAUGGUGGGGGUUGGAAAGUUUCGGCGGUUGGGGAUGGACUCGCGGCUUAUCAGCUUGUUGGUGGGGUAGUGGCUUACCAAGGCUUUGACGGGUAGCCGGCCUGAGAGGGUGACCGGCCACAUUGGGACUGAGAUACGGCCCAGACUCCUACGGGAGGCAGCAGUGGGGAAUAGUGCACAAUGGGCUGAAGCCUGAUGCAGCAACGCCGCGUGCGGGAUGACGGCCUUCGGUUUGUAAACCGCUUUCGCCUGUGACGAAGCGUGAGUGACGGUAAUGGGUAAAGAAGCACCGGCUAACUACGUG
RNAcentral lists this ribosomal RNA (468 nucleotides) under uncultured bacterium. RNAcentral's name for it is "partial 16S ribosomal RNA". It matches the Rfam family "Bacterial small subunit ribosomal RNA", at positions 28 to 507 of the family's 1533-position model. The record is from RNAcentral.